GAUGAACGCUGGCGGCGUGCCUAAUACAUGCAAGUCGAGCGAACAGACGAGGAGCUUGCUCCUCUGACGUUAGCGGCGGACGGGUGAGUAACACGUGGAUAACCUACCUAUAAGACUGGGAUAACUUCGGGAAACCGGAGCUAAUACCGGAUAAUAUAUUGAACCGCAUGGUUCAAUAGUGAAAGACGGUUUUGCUGUCACUUAUAGAUGGAUCCGCGCCGCAUUAGCUAGUUGGUAAGGUAACGGCUUACCAAGGCAACGAUGCGUAGCCGACCUGAGAGGGUGAUCGGCCACACUGGAAGUGAAACGCGGUCCGGAGGCCUACGGGAGGCAGCAGUAGGGAAUGUUCGGCAAUGGGGGGAAGCCUGACGGAGCAGCGGCGCGUGAGUGAUAAAGGUCUUCGGAUCGUAAAACUCGGUUAUUAGGGAAGAACAAAUGUGGAAGUAACUGUGGACGUAUUGACGGUACCGGGUCAGAAAGCCACGGCUAACUACGUG
This 497-nucleotide ribosomal RNA is filed under the name uncultured bacterium. RNAcentral describes it as "partial 16S ribosomal RNA". It matches the Rfam family "Bacterial small subunit ribosomal RNA", at positions 28 to 507 of the family's 1533-position model. The record is from RNAcentral.